UACGUAGGGAGCAAGCGUUGUCCGGAAUCAUUGGGCGUAAAGCGCGCGUAGGUGGUCCCGUAAGUCCGCUGUGAAAGUCAAAGGCUCAACCUUUGAAAGCCGGUGGAUACUGUGGGACUAGAGUACAGAAGGGGCGAACUGGAAUUCUCGGUGUAGCGGUGGAAAUGCGUAGAUAUCGAGAGGAACACCUGCGGCGAAGGCGGGUUGCUGGGCUGAUACUGACGCUGAGGCGCGAAAGCCAGGGGAGCGAACGGG
RNAcentral lists this ribosomal RNA (255 nucleotides) under uncultured bacterium. RNAcentral describes it as "partial 16S ribosomal RNA". It matches the Rfam family "Bacterial small subunit ribosomal RNA", at positions 524 to 776 of the family's 1533-position model. The record is from RNAcentral.